GCGGAUGUGGCGAAACUGGUAGACGCGCAAGAUUUAGGUUCUUGUGCCUUACGGCGUGGAGGUUCAAGUCCUCUCAUCCGCACCA
RNAcentral lists this transfer RNA (85 nucleotides) under Rickettsiales bacterium. RNAcentral's name for it is "tRNA-Leu". It matches the Rfam family "tRNA". From Rfam's summary of the family: Transfer RNA (tRNA) molecules are approximately 80 nucleotides in length. Their secondary structure includes four short double-helical elements and three loops (D, anti-codon, and T loops). The record is from RNAcentral. Lineage: Bacteria; Pseudomonadati; Pseudomonadota; Alphaproteobacteria; Rickettsiales.